GCAUGCAUUGGUAGGCAUGCAGGAAGUCAGAUAGAUAUAGGCACUGACUACGGGAGUGGAUGCACACAGAUGCAUUGAACAAGGAAGUUAGACAACUGGAAACACAAAAUGAAGGAACUAUUGUAGGUGUAGAGCCAAAUCUAGGUGAUAUGUAGAUAGAACCAGAUAGGAUGUCUUAGAGACAUGAGAAGGAGUUUCUCUUUCAUAAUAUGCAAUAGCAAUUGUUGCCAACAUUUGAGCAGGUUUACGGAUAAAUGGACAGGCAGAUUAUAGGAACUGAAGAUGUGGUCUACCUUUUUGUAUUAAUUAAAUUGCAUUACUUUUACUUUUAGUAAGAUUUAGUCAUUUGUGAAUGAAUAGGAAAAGCUGGAACUGAUGUGUUGCAUUAUGGUGUUGUGUAGGCAAAUGAUGUUGAUGAUCUCAUUGAUAUACAUAGACAAUAUAUUAACAAGGUGCAUGACAGAUGUCUGCUCAAUGAGAAGGCAUCAUAUGUGAAAUCAGCAAUUCGUAAAUGUCUGAAUCUUGCACUCAUUUUUACAUCUAACUUGGAGAGAGGAGUUCAGUUCACAAGAGUGGAGACUGCUGAUCGUAUCGAACGAGACUAUGAACAAUGUAAUAAGUUUCUUGUUAGCUUUCUUUUAAGCCUUGUACGACGAGGAUCAUACCCUCACUUGGAAUACCUUGUGGUGGCUCUUCAGUCAUAAGUUUCAAAGAAAGGAGAUGUGUGUUUGCGUUUAGAGAAAUUAUAAGACUUAGACAGGAUGAGUUUUUCAAUUGUGUGUAGCUUUGAGCAAAUGACUCAUUUAGAAUAGAAUGCAAGACUGAAAAUCAGCAUCAUCAUUUAUGUUAGUUUUCCAAGCUCCAUCUUCUGUUGAAGAGAACGCACCGAAUGAUA
Molecule: long non-coding RNA, 895 nt
Organism: Corticium candelabrum
Lineage: Eukaryota; Metazoa; Porifera; Homoscleromorpha; Homosclerophorida; Plakinidae
Exons: 4
Source: RefSeq, a predicted model, not a curated record